RNAcentral lists this ribosomal RNA (497 nucleotides) under uncultured bacterium. Its description in RNAcentral is "partial 16S ribosomal RNA". It matches the Rfam family "Bacterial small subunit ribosomal RNA", at positions 28 to 507 of the family's 1533-position model. The record is from RNAcentral.
GAUGAACGCUGGCGGCGUGCCUAAUACAUGCAAGUCGAGCGAACAGACGAGGAGCUUGCUCCUCUGACGUUAGCGGCGGACGGGUGAGUAACACGUGGAUAACCUACCUAUAAGACUGGGAUAACUUCGGGAAACCGGAGCUAAUACCGGAUAAUAUAUUGAACCGCAUGGUUCAAUAGUGAAAGACGGUUUUGCUGUCACUUAUAGAUGGAUCCGCGCCGCAUUAGCUAGUUGGUAAGGUAACGGCUUACCAAGGCAACGAUGCGUAGCCGACCUGAGAGGGGGAUCGGCCACACGGGAACUGAGACACGGUCCAGACUCCUACGGGAGGCAGCAGUAGGGAAUCUUCCGCAAUGGGCGAAAGCCUGACGGAGCAACGCCGCGUGAGUGAUGAAGGUCUUCGGAUCGUAAAACUCUGUGAUAAGGGAAGAACAAAUGUGUAAGUAACUAUGCACGUCUUGACGGUACCUAAUCAGAAAGCCACGGCUAACUACGUG